CCAGCCCUGGUCACGUCCUGCCUCAGGUUUGGGACUCUACCCUCUGCCCCUCCUCAUUUAGGUGCCUCCUGUGCCUUGUUUGGGACCUUCCUCCUUGUUCCUCCUCAUAGUCAGGCUAUCCUCCCUCCUGCUUAUCCUUGAGGGACCCUCUUACCUACCUGUCUCCUCAGUUUCUGUUCAGAGGCAAGCUCCCUCUUCACUUCCCCACCCACGGUGCUUUAGGUGCAAGUUGUUAAAUUUCUUCUGAACCAGUGCUUCCCAGUACCCGAGGAUUAUACUAGCAUGAACCUUCUGGCAGUGAGUGAGUAGGGGUUCUUUAAACAGUCCCCUGACCUAGUUAAAACAGGGAUUAAAUAAAAAUAUCAAAACUGUCCUACUCAGACAGAUCUGUUGCUUCCCCUCCAUUUUACUAUGCAUGCGUCUUUCAAAUGAGAUCUGAAAAGAGGGUCCUGACCACACUGUGUCGAAAAGAUGUAUGUGCUGUACAGGUAAAAGAAGCAGUUAGGACUUGCAAUACACACACACAACAGAUAAAGUUGAGGAAGUACUGUAGUCAUAUUUCUGGCCAUACCAACACUUUAAGUUCAAACUCUCUGUAAAAUAAACUUGGCUUCUAUAUGUGA
Chelonia mydas (Green sea turtle) is the source of this 623-nucleotide long non-coding RNA. RefSeq lists it as uncharacterized. The record is from RefSeq and is a predicted model, not a curated record. The transcript has 2 exons. NCBI's taxonomy places the organism in Eukaryota, Metazoa, Chordata, Testudines, Cheloniidae.